ACCGGUGAGGGCUUUGAUGCAUGACGCUUGUCGCCACGUUGCGGCACGUGCGCGGUUCCCCGGAAGAGUUCUUAUCCACAUAAACAUACACCUGUGCACCUAGCGCGAGCGCCGCCCCAUUCGGAGCCGUCCUGGCGUAACCUCCGUUUGUAUCGGGGGGGGCUGGACCGUGUACAAGUCUCCUG
Molecule: ribosomal RNA, 185 nt
Filed under: uncultured fungus
Lineage: Eukaryota; Fungi
Description: partial 28S ribosomal RNA
Source: RNAcentral